RNAcentral lists this transfer RNA (61 nucleotides) under marine eukaryotic metagenome. It matches the Rfam family "tRNA", at positions 8 to 63 of the family's 71-position model. Rfam says of the family: Transfer RNA (tRNA) molecules are approximately 80 nucleotides in length. Their secondary structure includes four short double-helical elements and three loops (D, anti-codon, and T loops). The record is from RNAcentral.
UAGCUCAGUUGGUUAGAGCGUCUGAUUGUGGUUCAGAAAGUCGCCGGUUCGAAUCCGGUCU